Molecule: long non-coding RNA, 618 nt
Organism: Dendronephthya gigantea
Lineage: Eukaryota; Metazoa; Cnidaria; Anthozoa; Malacalcyonacea; Nephtheidae
Exons: 3
Source: RefSeq, a predicted model, not a curated record
CUACGAUGAUAUUUGAUUAUGAUAAAACGUAUCAGCUGAAGUCAAACUAAAAGCAUCACGUAUGAACAAGACCUUACUGUGGCAGUGUAAGUUACGAAAGCCGAGUACGGAUGACGUCUUUCUGGCUCUGGGAAAAUUUUUUUCCUCGAACAAAAGGAACAAGUUCAGAACCCACUUAUCCUCGGAUCACUAAUUUGGUUGAGGUAAUAUCCGCAACUGAUUUUGAACUUUGGACCAGAGGGUAUUUGAUUAAGAACAACAGCACGUUCACAUGAAAUCAUCGUUCCAAUGGAUUGUAGCCGCAUACACGGUUUGUGUGAGAUAUCGUUCAUUGCAAUACAAUGAACUUUGCAUAUGGUUUGAACCAGUCUUUAUAUGAAAUAAAACAGAAUUCAGUAAGAAAAUUAAUGGUAUUUCGUUUCAGUACAUUGGGUAGCUCAAUCUGUUCAAGAAAUGGUUCCCACUUUUAGGACCAGCGAGGACGUCUCUUUGGUAAUUUCAAAGAAAGCUCUCGAUUUGUAACAUUGGGGCCUGAGAAUACAAAGUAAGAAGUUUGUCACUACCAUAGAUCACUGAAGAGUGGAAUUGUGUGUCGAAUUAACAUUCACCAACCUGCAG